Molecule: ribosomal RNA, 490 nt
Filed under: uncultured bacterium
Lineage: Bacteria
Description: partial 16S ribosomal RNA
Rfam family: Bacterial small subunit ribosomal RNA
Source: RNAcentral
GAUGAACGCUAGCGAUAGGCUUAACACAUGCAAGUCGAGGGGCAGCAUGGUCUUAGCUUGCUAAGACUGAUGGCGACCGGCGCACGGGUGCGUAACGCGUAUGCAACUUGCCUCACAGAGGGGGAUAACCCGGCGAAAGACGGACAAAUACCGCGUACACUUGGGAUAGGGCAUCCUGACCCAAGGAAAUGAAAUUCGCUGUGAGAUAGGCAUGCGUCACAUUAGCUAGUUGGUGAGGUAACGGCUCACCAAGGCGACGAUGGGUAGGGGAAAUGAGAGGGAGCACCACCACACCGGUACUGCGCCCCGGACCAGACUGCUACGGGAGGCAGCAGUGAGGAAUACUGGUCAAUGGGCGAGAGCCUGAACCAGCCAAGUCGCGUGAAGGAUGACUGUCUUAUGGAUUGUAAACUUCUUUUAUACGGGAAUAACAAGAGUAACGUGUGGCUCCCUGAAUGUACCGUAUGAAUAAGCAUCGGCUAACUCCGUG